This 292-nucleotide ribosomal RNA is filed under the name uncultured eukaryote. Its description in RNAcentral is "partial 18S ribosomal RNA". It matches the Rfam family "Eukaryotic small subunit ribosomal RNA", at positions 6 to 302 of the family's 1831-position model. The record is from RNAcentral.
GGUUGAUCCUGCCAGUAUUAUAUGCUGAUGUUAAAGAUUAAGCCAUGCAUGUGUAAGUUUAAAGACCAAGUAGGAUGAAACUGCGGACGGCUCAUUAUAACAGUAAUAGUUUCUUUGGUUAGUCGGUACAAGGAUAACUUUGUGAAUGAUAAAGCUAAUACUUGAGACGAUCCGGGAAGUAUUUAUACUUUUCGGCCCUCGGCCGCGAGGUCGGGGAGAAACGACAUUCUCUUGUGAAAAAGGAUGCCGCGACAAUUGAGGAAAGCGACGCUUUUAACAAGUAACCAAUGGG